CAUCCUCUUCUUCAAUCCUGAAACCCAUUUCCGCCGCCUUGUCCCUCCGCCGCCCUCUCUCCUCCGACACCACCCUCACCAUCGAGACCUCCAUUCCAUUUACCGCCCACAACUGUGACGCGCCCUCACGCGCCGUCGAAACCUCCCCCUCCGAGCUUCUCACCUUCUACCGUGACAUGGCCGUCAUGCGCCGUAUGGAGAUCGCCGCCGACUCUCUCUACAAGUCGAAGCUCAUUCGCGGCUUCUGCCACCUUUACGAUGGCCAGGAAGCCGUGGCUAUUGGUAUGGAAGCUGCUAUCAAUAAGAAGGAUUGCAUCAUCACUGCCUACCGUGAUCAUUGCAUCUUCCUUGGCCGCGGCGGAAACCUCGUCGAGGUCUUCGCCGAGCUCAUGGGCCGAAAAGAUGGCUGCUCCAAAGGUAUUAGUACCAUAUUUAGUUAUGAAUGUGGUUUAAGCUUAGUUAGGUAGUGUUUCACAUGCCAACAAAAUACAAUCAAACAUGAUGAAAUAGUAAGUGUUAUUGCAUUACACAUUAGUAGAGUGGCUUUGUUCUGUUUUAUUUAGGCUCUGUUCUGUAAAACUAGCUUAUAGUUGUGAUGAUGGCUUAUAUAGCUAUGAAACUAGCUGAAAGAUUAUGUGUUUAUAGCUGGUUGAUUGAAUUAGAGUUGUAUGGCAAAACUAGUUUUACGAAAGUUUAAAUUUGUUAAUUGAUUUAGAAGGAUGGGUAAAUAUUAGGUUGGGGAUGAAAAAUGUCACUUACUGAAAGAUUAAAGGGCAAAACGUGAUGCGUGAAUUGUUGGAAGCUCUUGUAGUUUUUGAGAAGUCACUUGAAGUAGGUUUUCAAAAGUUUUAAUCUCCUUUCAUUUUUAUACAUACUAGUAUUAUAAAGUGGGGGCAGUUUCUACACACAGUAUAUAGUAUUAUGAAAAACUAAAAUCCUUCAAGGCACAAUGUAGGUCAGUGCCUGAAUGAAACUGUAUGUCAUUUUCCGUCUAGUUAUCACAUGUAUAUCAAAUGCCACCUUGGUGGUAGUAGAUUAGUUCACUGUUGUUUCCUAGUCAUUUAUUAUCUCUUGAUUUAUGUAAUUCACUUGAUUAGAUUGUUUUACACACUUUCAUUAUUCAGUUAUAAUUCGAUUUCUCAUUUGUACCAUUUUUCAUACAUAUUAUGUGCAUUCACAUUAUUAAGAACAUACAUGUUACCCUUACAUUUAUAAUGUUAAGAAGAAACAUGUGAAUAUUUAAUCAAUUAAUUCAAAACUUUGUAACAUCUACUAUCUAAUAAUUGAUAUGAGGCUACAAUUCUUAAAAUCAUUCUGACUACAUGUGAGAUUACAACUAAUGAUAACGAAGGAAUCUUGUAAGGUAUAGUUUUCAAAGCUAGGAAUUUAGUUGAGCAGAGUUUUGGAUAUUAUGUUAGUAGCAAUGUUAUGCUGGUUGCUAAGCAGAAAGGUCUCAUCCAUAGGUAUUAUUAUCUCAUUUAAAGUUGAUAUGUGUAAAUAAAUUUUUAAAUGUUUUAUCACUGCAUGGAAAUGCAUUUGAUGAAAAAAGUAGGCAUGGAAAUGAGAACUUGUAGGGAAAUUGACAUCAGAAUAUAAGAUUGCUAUUUAAGAAAUCACAAGUACUAAAGGAGCCGCCAAUCCCAUGCUAACACCAUGCAAUAACUGAAUUUAAUAUUUUUGUAUGAUACAUCUUCUACUAUCAAGUAAAUUAGUGUUAAUCAUAAUUGAUUCUUAUAUAAAAGUAAACAUAUGAAUGACCUAUGUAGAAAAUAUUUCAUGGAAAAGUAUUUCAUUAUCUAGUAUUUCAUAAUGAAUAUAAAGAUUUAUACAUACGUACUUCAUUAUCUAUCACUUAUUUAGAUUACAUUUUCUAAAAAAUCAAGUAUAAUUAAAUAUAAUGAAUGAUAUAAUAACACUAUAUAAAACUCGUAUAAGGUCGUAUAUACAUUUUUUUUUUCCUCUUUCACAAUAUAAAAAAAUCUUAUAUAAAAGUGAAUAUAUGACCGAAAACAUCACACCUUUUGAAAAAGUAUUCCACUAUUUGCGGUUUCCCCCAACUUGCUCAAUACCAAUAGUUAUAAUCAAAGGCACUCAAGUGGUGGCAACAAAAUGACACAUAAAUUAAGGUCAUUAACAUUCUUCAAACACUAUUACCUCAUUUCUAUUUAAUUAUUUAUAGUUGUCGUUGCAAAAGAAAAUAUCUUUUAUGUUGAUGAGGAUGACUUUUAUUUUGUUUUUUCCUAGUGGUGGUUAAUUUUCCCCCACUAUUCACAUAAUAAAAAAUUUAAAUAUAUAAAAUAAAAAUUAAGACAUUCUUAAAUUUCUUAUCUUAUUAUAAAAGAAAAAGAAUCAUUCAAAUAAAAACGUUUUUUUGGUUUUCAAUCUCAUCUAACCCUUCAACCUUGAUCUUCCUUUCUCUGUUUCUCUCUCAAUUCCAAUUCCCAAAUUCGAAUCCCUAACAAAUCAACAUGGCUCUAUCACGCAUAGCAUCUUCAUCAUCCUCUUCUUCAAUCCUGAAACCCAUUUCCGCCGCCUUGUCCCUCCGCCGCCCUCUCUCCUCCGACACCACCCUCACCAUCGAGACCUCCAUUCCAUUUACCGCCCACAACUGUGACGCGCCCUCACGCGCCGUCGAAACCUCCCCCUCCGAGCUUCUCACCUUCUACCGUGACAUGGCCGUCAUGCGCCGUAUGGAGAUCGCCGCCGACUCUCUCUACAAGUCGAAGCUCAUUCGCGGCUUCUGCCAC
RNAcentral lists this long non-coding RNA (2747 nucleotides) under Lupinus angustifolius (narrow-leaved blue lupine). Its description in RNAcentral is "long non-coding RNA (LANG_LNC002694)". The record is from RNAcentral. Lineage: Eukaryota; Viridiplantae; Streptophyta; Magnoliopsida; Fabales; Fabaceae.